UGAGGAAUAUUGGUCAAUGGGCGAGAGCCUGAACCAGCCAAGUCGCGUGAGGGAGUACUGCCCUAUGGGUUGUAAACCUCUUUUGUCGGGGAGCAAAAGCCGGACGUGUCCGUCUGUGAGAGUACCCGAAGAAAAAGCAUCGGCUAACUCCGUGCCAGCAGCCGCGGUAAUACGGAGGAUGCGAGCGUUAUCCGGAUUUAUUGGGUUUAAAGGGUGCGCAGGCGGAUUUUUAAGUCAGCGGUCAAAUCGUGGGGCUCAACCCCAUCCAGCCGUUGAAACUGGGGAUCUAGAGUGUGCGAGAGG
RNAcentral lists this ribosomal RNA (303 nucleotides) under uncultured bacterium. Its description in RNAcentral is "bacterial SSU rRNA". It matches the Rfam family "Bacterial small subunit ribosomal RNA", at positions 355 to 657 of the family's 1533-position model. The record is from RNAcentral.